Molecule: transfer RNA, 87 nt
Filed under: Bacteriophage sp.
Also listed under: 1 other name
Description: tRNA-Ser
Rfam family: tRNA
About the family: Transfer RNA (tRNA) molecules are approximately 80 nucleotides in length. Their secondary structure includes four short double-helical elements and three loops (D, anti-codon, and T loops).
Source: RNAcentral
GGCUGCUUGGCAGAGUCUGGUUUAUUGCGACAGUCCUGAAAACUGUAGACGGUGAAACGUCCAGAGGUUCAAAUCCUCUAGCAGUCG